Spinacia oleracea (spinach) is the source of this 3124-nucleotide long non-coding RNA. RefSeq lists it as uncharacterized. Lineage: Eukaryota; Viridiplantae; Streptophyta; Magnoliopsida; Caryophyllales; Amaranthaceae. The record is from RefSeq and is a predicted model, not a curated record. The transcript is spliced from 3 exons.
AUGAGUUGGGUUGAGAAUUGACAGCAGUAGCGAUGAGUGAUGAACUGACGAUGACACACUUUCCCAUUGUCGCAAUAAACGCUUACCAAAACACCAGCGUGAAUACAUUUCGAAAAACUCUUGAAGACAUGAUCAAUCUUGUUGCUGUGGAGGCGGCGCCUCUGAUCCCGCGGCGGCUGUAGCGGUGGUCCGGUCAAUGGUUCCAUCUUAUUUCAACAAAGCAUGGGUUUCAUGGGAAGUUAAGGAAGAUUUUCAACAGAUUAGGUUCUGAAACAGACAAAUUUGCGGUAACUCAAGCAUUCUAAUGUUGUCGAAGAUGACGAGGAAGAUCUAUAUUAGGCAACUGUUUUAAGAAAGGUAAGAAAAACUAAUGCUUACAAGUCAGUCGGUUUUUAACUGUUGUUAGUGCUUGAUUACUUUUUUGAUAAGUUUUUAAGGUUCUAGAUUCUAGAUUGCAGUAGUUUGAGUCCUUCAUUGUUGUUUUCGCAAGUGCUAGUGGGUUGUUAGUGUUUAAGUUAGUAAGACGAUUAAAGUUUCGUCAAACAAUCAAUAAAUUGUACGCAAACAAAAAUCGUCAAACCUCAUUAAUAAAUAAAUUACAGACAUAAGUUUUAUAUUUUCUCUUUGUUUUUGGUAUUUUAAAAGCUUACUUCCACUUCCUAUUUCAACCAAAUUCCUUAAUCUCAGCAGAAAGGAAGGGUAAAUGACUACCACCUCAGUUGAAUAUCACUUGUGCACUUAGGUUGUUGUUUGUUGGUACCAACUACAUGUAUGCAUUAUAGAUCACUGAUGAAUAUGAAGGCAUUAAGGCAAAACUAACUGAUAUAAAGUGUAUAGGAAAGAAAGUGCUGAAAAUUUCCAUUUUAGGCAUCCUGUAAGUUAAAAUUUGCCGACACUUAUCCAUCUUUAACAGCAUAAUGAGCAUAUAGUCAUAUACGUAGUACAUGCUAUAAUAUUAUAAAUACCGUGCAUACCUUUGUUUCCAUUCACCAGUUGUGCAUUAAAAAAUAUUUUUCAUCUUCCAGAAUCCAACAUCUUCAUAAUUACACACUUGUAGUGAUAUAACGCCCAUUCUUGAUCACAUCAGCUUCCUCAACAUAAGUAUCAUAAAAAUGCCUAUAGUCUCUCUCACGAGUCUUGCCCACGUUAGUUCGUAAGUUUUCGUUUUAUGCCUCAGGUUUUAGUUUUCAAUUAAUUUGGAAAAAUCUCCACAUAGACGUUAAUUGUUUAUUUGGGCACAUACAUUGUUAGUUGCUAAUUUAAUUUUUAUCUUCUACCCUUGUGUCAACUGUUCAGUACUAGGUAUUUAGUUGCAACUCGUUCCUCUGCUUUGGUAGUUUGGUUUCCUUGAUCAGUAAAAUGGAAUAAUUGUUGUAAUUGAGUUAAACUAACAAUUCAGGCAGUCUCCUUUGCAUCAUCGCAUGUAUAAGUGAUCAUGUGAUCAUUUUCAAUGCAACAUAUGAAAAAACAAACAAAACAAAAUGUUGCAGUUCUGCUUUUCCGCUUGCAUGAUUCAGUAGAUCGUGUUAAAGGUUCACUGUUGACUUCGUUCAUAGACAUUAUGUGCACAAAUUUCAGGUACCAUUAUAUUCUUGUUUAAGUUAGCUUGAAUGUAUAUGAACUGUUUGGGGCACCUGGCACCAACACUUAAUUUAGGAAUUUUUAACAGUAAUUUGUGAGUGUGUUGAAAUAAUAUAUGGGACUGGUUCGUAUGUAGUAUGUGUUUAUAUUUUUAUAACGGGUUUGAGGACAUUAGUGUUAAGAGCAUAUGUGCAUUCUUUGUGUGCUUGCUUGUAAUAAUUGAUCUUUCCAAAUUAAUUCCAGAAGUUUUGUUUUUUACUUAUACAAAAUGACUUAGGCUUUCCAUUUUGUGUCAAACAUAUUGAUUCUUGAGUGUAAGUAUCCAACACUUCCAUCACUACACACUCUGUAUAGAGUCAAGAUUUAGAAUCUGAAACCUUAUUGAAAAAAUUGUGUCCCUUGGAAAUAAAUCUAUUACUUUAUACUAAAACAGACACCAGGAAUGACACAUGUCACUUCCUGGUGCAAUUUUUUCCCGCCAAAAGCCUAUUUCCUAAAAUAUAUCUAUUUUAUUUAUUUAUUUAGUUUUUAUCAGUUUUUAUAAAUGGAUUAUGCAUGGAAACAAAAUAUUGGCUUACUAAAUAUGACAAUAAUAAAUACCACAUAAUAACUUGCUCAAAAUUAUAUUGAAAUAUUUUUGUCAAAUCGGUAUAUCAAUAAUAGAAAAUAUAUUUAGUCGAUAUUUGAUCAAAUUAGCAUAUGAUGCACAUAAAAUAUGUAAUACGUAAUAGGACAAAAGUUUCCUAUUAGAUGAUUAAAUGAAUAUGUUCAAGAUUUAUUAAUUAUGCAUUGGCUUUAGGAGGAGAAAUAUUUUUUUAAAACAAAUAUGGUCAAACAAUAAUUUUAAAAUAUCCGUGCAUGCACGGGAUAUAAUCUAGUCAUUCUCUAUUCAAAUGUGGAUUUCGUUUUAAUAAAAGAAUACAGGAGAAUUGUUAUGUGGUCAGAUUUGCUUUUCAAUCUUCUUGGUUGAUUAUUGUUACUAUUUUUACGAAUUGCUUGACUUUUGCUUAAUUGCUUCAAGGCCCAAACUCGGUAUAUUUUGCUGUUGCGGUUGCUGCUAAUUAAUUGUAUGCAGGCUACAGUUUUGUUUCUUGCAAAACCCGAUUGUAUUACUUGGAACACUAAUUUGGAUGAAAAUCAGCUGUUUUGGAAGGUUUACUGUUGCAUCAAUUCUACUGGCACAACUUGGAAUCUGUGUAGGAGAUUAUGGUGAUAAUUUUAAUUGGGGCGGAAUUUUACAUGGACAUGAAUGGGUUAUUGAAAUUUCACUAAUAUUAGGUAUGUUUUUAAUAAUUGUUCUUAUAUUUCUUAUUCGGCGUUUUUUCAAGAAAACGCAACAAAGCACACCACCUACUAUCCAACUCCCCAAUCUUCCCCCCGCCCAAGCCUCUGAAAAUUUUACCAACCCCUCUAAUGAAACCUAUGUAUUACGUAGAUUACCGGAAGAUAUUUAUAGGCGUUUUCCGGUAGAUACAUAUUCAACUAAACGUUGUAAUGACUUCAGUCAUGAAGAUUGUAUGAUAUGUAAUUUUCCUUUUGUUGA